CCUACGGGCGGCUGCAGUGGGGAAUAUUGCACAAUGGGGGAAACCCUGAUGCAGCGACGCCGCGUGAGUGAAGAAGUAUUUCGGUAUGUAAAGCUCUAUCAGCAGGGAAGAAAAUGACGGUACCUGAUUAAUAAGCCCCGGCUAACUACGUGCCAGCAGCCGCGGUAAUACGUAGGGGGCAAGCGUUAUCCGGAUUUACUGGGUGUACAGGGAGCGUAGACGGCAGCACAAGUCUGGAGUGAAAUGCCGGGGCUUAACCCCGGAACUGCUUUGGAUACGGUGCAGCUAGAGUGCAGGAGAGGUAAGUGGAAUUCCUAGUGUAGCGGUGAAAUGCGGAGAUAUUAGGAGGAACACCAGUGGCGAAGGCGGCUUACUGGACUGUAACUGACGUUGAGGCUCGAAAGCGUGGGGAGCAAACAGGAUUAGAUACCCCAGUAGUC
RNAcentral lists this ribosomal RNA (440 nucleotides) under uncultured bacterium. Its description in RNAcentral is "partial 16S ribosomal RNA". It matches the Rfam family "Bacterial small subunit ribosomal RNA", at positions 338 to 795 of the family's 1533-position model. The record is from RNAcentral.